GUCGAACGGGCUUAGGGGCUUGCUCCUAGGUUAGUGGCGAACGGGUGAGUAAUAUAUCGGAACAUGUCCGGAAGUGGGGGAUAACGUAGCGAAAGUUACGCUAAUACCGCAUAUGCCCUGAGGGGGAAAGGGGGGGAUCGCAAGACCUCUCGCUUUCGGAGUGGCCGAUACCGGAUUAGCUAGUAGGUGAGGUAAAGGCUCACCUAGGCGACGAUCCGUANCUGGUCUGAGAGGACGACCAGCCACACUGGAACUGAGACACGGUCCAGACUCCUACGGGAGGCAGCAGUGGGGAAUUUUGGACAAUGGGCGAAAGCCUGAUCCAGCCAUACCGCGUGAGUGAAGAAGGCCUUCGGGUUGUAAAGCUCUUUCAGCCGGAAAGAAAUCGCGUUGGUUAAUAUCCAGCGUGGAUGACGGUACCGGAAGAAGAAGCACCGGCUAACUACGUGCCAGCAGCCG
Molecule: ribosomal RNA, 459 nt
Filed under: uncultured Gallionella sp.
Lineage: Bacteria; Pseudomonadati; Pseudomonadota; Betaproteobacteria; Nitrosomonadales; Gallionellaceae
Description: bacterial SSU rRNA
Rfam family: Bacterial small subunit ribosomal RNA
Source: RNAcentral